This 480-nucleotide ribosomal RNA is filed under the name Streptococcus pneumoniae. RNAcentral's name for it is "partial 23S ribosomal RNA". It matches the Rfam family "Bacterial large subunit ribosomal RNA", at positions 543 to 1023 of the family's 2925-position model. The record is from RNAcentral. Lineage: Bacteria; Bacillati; Bacillota; Bacilli; Lactobacillales; Streptococcaceae.
AGAGAACCUGAAACCGUGUGCUUACAAGUAGUCAGAGCCCUUAAGGGGGUGAUGGCGUGCCUUUUGUAGAAUGAACCGGCGAGUUACUUUAUCAUGCGAGGUUAAGUGGAAGACAUGGAGCCGAAGCGAAAGCGAGUCUUAAUAGGGCGAAAUAGUAUGAUGGAGUAGACCCGAAACCAAGUGAUCUACCCAUGGCCAGGUUGAAGUUUAGGUAACACUGAAUGGAGGACCGAACCAGGACACGUUGAAAAGUGUUUGGAUGAGCUGUGGGUAGCGGAGAAAUUCCAAUCGAACUUGGAAAUAGCUGGUUCUCUCCGAAAUAGCUUUAGGGCUAGCCUCGUUGUGAGUUUACUGGAGGUAGAGCACUGUUUGGACUAGGGGCCCAUCCCGGGUUACCGAAUUCAGACAAACUCCGAAUGCCAGAUAAAUAUCAACGGGAGUCAGACUGCGGGUGAUAAGGUUCGUAGUCGAAAGGGAAAC